Monodelphis domestica (gray short-tailed opossum) is the source of this 1587-nucleotide long non-coding RNA. NCBI's taxonomy places the organism in Eukaryota, Metazoa, Chordata, Mammalia, Didelphimorphia, Didelphidae. The record is from Ensembl.
UGAUAAAGGAAAUGAAGCCUUUUGCAAACUUCAAAGUUCUAUAGAAAUGUCAGCUGUUAUAAUUAUUUCUUCUGAAUGUUUUGCAAAUGGCAGAUGCCUUUUUUUAAGCCUCCACUGAAGCCUGAAGACUUUACCAUAUGACUCAAGUGAUCAUCUUUUUGGUUGAUUCCACUGAAAUAGGGCAAUCAACGUGAUUACUGGUGCUGAAUGCUGACUCAGUGGGACAGCCACAGGAGCAACUCUAUGUUCCUGAUCCUCCAGAAGUCUCAAGGAGGCCAAUGACUUCUUUCCCAUCUUUUUUUUUUUUUGCCAGGAUGAGUUCUUUCAUAGGGAAAUUUGGAAAAUUAUUCAAACCACUCCACCAAAUCGUUUUGAAUCCAUUCGGAAUUUGCUGGUUCAGAGACUUUCCUGUUCCCCAAGACUGAAAUCUCCUUUAACAGAAGCACUAUUAGCAUCAUUUUUGGACGUCCCAAUGGAAGCAGCCAUUUGCAUUGGAUACUGUGGUACCAACAGAAUGAUCACAAAGAGGGAAGAUGAUAGGGCUUCUCCUCAUGUAGAAGAUCUUGAUCUGAGGUGUCAUCUGUACACUUCUGUGGAUCUUCGGAAUGUUUCUGUUUGCACAGAAGAGCAGCUGUAAGAAUGGCAGAAGAGCUUUCAGGAAACAGAGUCUAGGUGGAACCCUUGAAGCUCACAUAAUUGCAUGAAUUUAAAAGAGCAAAUAGGUUAAACAAUGAGCUCUAAGUGGAAGAUGACCUGGAGCUCAGCCUCUAGUGAAGCUCAUUUAGCAAUUCAUUUCCAUUCUCCUCCUCCAACCUCCUUGACUUACACUGCUGGCUUACUGGAAAUUUUCUGCCUGGAAUGAUAAUGGCUGUAUGUAUCACAGUGCUACCUCGCCAAAUCAAUGGGCAACAUUGUGAAGUUUCUGCUUCCAGCCUUUAGUUGUCAGUCUUCUUCUCUCAUUUGCCAUAAUCAAUAACUUGGGAGUACUCAGAGGAGUCAGAGCAGGACUGGGAUGUCUUCUGACAAUGACUGUAGAUGAGCCUCAAGUUGGACAACCUCAGCCCAAGGGAAUUCUCACAAAUUAUCAAUACAUAUUCCCCUCACUUUGUUUGAGUUACACCUCAGGGUAUAUAUAACUUCUGACCCAGUAAUACCUGAUUCUUAAGCAUUAACCAGCAAGGGGGAAAAGUAAAAUCCAUUUCUCUAGAGAGAAUCUGUUAUUAAAGCAAUUAUAAUAGUUCUCUGAGUAGUCACUAGGUUAGGAAAAGACCCAUUCUUUUCAGAUUAUAAUGAUGCUUGCCAAAUUUUGCUUAUUCAUAAAUAUUCCCUAGUCUUCAAGAUUCUACAUCAGCCUCAUAAAUUUCCAAAGACUUACCAUGGUACUCACCAUUUUGCAAAGGAACAUUUAUUUGGCCAAUUUAACAUCACGUACAACUGAUUUAACAGAGAUUUAGCCUCUCUCUGCCUGCUCAAUAUUGACCAGAUCAACAGGUUUUACAAAACCAGUCUCUAGUCAACAAGCCACUGGUUCUUUGCCAAUGAAACACAGGAUGAAUUUUCCUAUAAUAAAAAUCACUCCAAAGGACA